UGCCCCCUCCCCUUUCUCUCGAUAUCGGCGUUCGACACGGUGGUGCAGGUAAUGUGGCCAAUAUCUCCUAGCGCGUUUUGUUUGGACAUGCGUGUGUUUUAAUGUGAUACCUGAAGUCAACGGGUUAAUCACUGUGACUCGUGUUUGGUCGGACUGCCUACUCUCAGUACUACCGUCUCUCUAUCGCCGUAUGCCUGGGUCAGCUGUAUGUUGGUAUGGCAGUUGGCUGUAUGUUCUGGCUUGUUGUUAGCAUUUAUGCUUUGCUGCUAGCGCAGCCGGUAUUUUGAUUCAUCAUUAGUUUGAGACUGCCGGUUUUUAUCUUCGUAAUUUGGAGUGUUCCUGCUGGGCUUGUAAACUGACCAUCAGUACCCAGAAACACGCUGCUGUCUUGUUCCCAUUUAAUUUACUUAUAUUUUGCGUUAUAUUAGUAAUUGCUUCCCAUGUUAGCUUUCCUUGAGCUCUUCACUGGAUGGUUCAGUCGGGUGCUUCCAGCAGUGGACUACAAGGACUUUUGCAGCUCUUGUAUACCUCCUGUUGAAGGCCUGGUGGUCCUAUUCGUCUGAUUGCUUGGUGGAUGGCUACUUUUCCUUUUUUUUGUUAUUUUUGGAGUGUAUUGUCCCGUGUAUGUGGUUUUUGUUUUCUUUUUUUUGUAUACUCUUUUUGAUAUUUCUUCUGUUCUUUUGGAAUUAGUGGUUGUGUGUGUGUCCGGUUGAAGCUGACUGAGUCUAUCUAAUUGCAGGUGCUGUGUCCAACAAAGGCAGGGAGGCAGAUUCUUCGUGUGUGUGGUGCUGGUGUUCACUGUGUGCUGUGUAAAGCCGAUCUUCCACCAUAACUUCACUGGGUAUUGAGUGAGUGUGAAUGUGUGCACUGAUAGCAUGUGGUAACUAGAUAUUGUGCUGCCUUAAGUUUAUACUAGUUGGCCACAGCCCUGUAAUCUUAGGUGGAACAUGUACUGUGAAGAACUGCAGGUACUACUAUUUUAAGUUGCAUUUUGACUUGUCUCUUUUUAAAAGGUGAUUAUUGAAUAAUAAAGCAAAGCAUCUUUUGUA
This is a long non-coding RNA of Pangasianodon hypophthalmus (striped catfish), 1049 nucleotides long. RefSeq lists it as uncharacterized. Lineage: Eukaryota; Metazoa; Chordata; Actinopteri; Siluriformes; Pangasiidae. The record is from RefSeq and is a predicted model, not a curated record. The transcript is spliced from 4 exons.